This 887-nucleotide long non-coding RNA is filed under the name Scleropages formosus (Asian bonytongue). RNAcentral describes it as "lncRNA (ENSSFOG00015024818.1)". Lineage: Eukaryota; Metazoa; Chordata; Actinopteri; Osteoglossiformes; Osteoglossidae. The record is from RNAcentral.
GUUUCAACCUCUUCUCACCAGUGGCGUGAUUUGUGGAUAGCCCAGAGGAAAUAUUUCAUUGCGUACAGGAAGCAAAUAAAACCAGAUGCGGAACAGAGCAAACAGCGCACGUGACACCGCUGCAGCAGUUUUCAUUGAGAGCUCCAACAAAAGGCUGUAAAAGAGGUUCAAAGAUUAGUAGUGGGACUGAAAAUUUUGGAUAUGGCAGUUAAAUUUCAAGAGGAAAUCCCUCAGAAGAAACUGGAGAGUAAGAUACUUUCUUCCCCAGUGCAAGAAAGCGGAGCAUACCAAAGUAGUGCAAAAACCUGGAAAGCAUCUCAAUGCUCACCAUUUGGUUUGCCAAAUAAUCUGCAACAUCUUAAGUCUGAGAUGGAAGAGAUCCCAUGCCCUAAACAAGAACACUAUACACCAUACGCUACAACUGCCAAAGAGGGAGAUGACAGCGCCAGAGCUGGUCAGCAAAAUGAAGAUGGUGAAAACGCCAGUACAUCUGAAAAAGAAAGACCAUUGCCAACUCAAGCAAAGAAAGAAGAUGGAAGUGGUUUUAGCAGCAGUCCUAGGAGGAUCGGGGAACGAGUUAAAGGAAAACGGAAUGUCACGAUCACCCCUGUUAGACAUUCCAGGAGUUACAUAAAGAAAGCAGCGCUCUUUUUCAUGAUGUCAAGUAGUUUUCUCAUCUCUGGUAAGUACUUACAUGUUUAGCCAUUUAUACAAGAAAACCCAGGCAAGAAACAUGAACGUGAACCAACGCUAGACCAGGGUGUUGGUGCUCACCUGCAGCUCUGUGAUCCCUUCUUGUACCCCACAAAUCAUGUGAAAUUCACCAAUACCCUCAUAAGCUCAUAAUGAGAAAUAAAAGCAUAAUUUUAAGAAACUGAAAAAUGGAA